Molecule: ribosomal RNA, 450 nt
Filed under: uncultured Glomus
Lineage: Eukaryota; Fungi; Glomeromycota; Glomeromycetes; Glomerales; Glomeraceae
Description: SSU rRNA
Rfam family: Eukaryotic small subunit ribosomal RNA
Source: RNAcentral
AGCAGCCGCGGUAAUUCCAGCUCCAAUAGCGUAUAUUAAAGUUGCUGCAGUUAAAAAGCUCGUAGUUGAAUUUCGGAAUCAAUAUGUCGGUCGUGUCUCGGUACGUACUGGCUUAUUGGUUUCUCCUUUCUGAAGAACCAUGAUGUCAUUUAUUUGGUGUCGUGGGAAAUCAGGACUGUUACUUUGAAAAAUUAGAGUGUUUAAAGCAGGCUCACGCUUGAAUACAUUAGCAUGGAAUAAUGAAAUAGGACGUUUGAUUCUAUUUUGUUGGUUUCUAGGAUCGACGUAAUGAUUAAUAGGGAUAGUUGGGGGCAUUAGUAUUCAAUUGUCAGAGGUGAAAUUCUUGGAUUUAUUGAAGGCUAACUACUGCGAAAGCAUUUGCCAAGGAUGUUUUCAUUAAUUAAGAACGAAAGUUAGGGGAUCGAAGACGAUCAGAUACCGUCGUAGUCU